CGGGACAACCCUCCGCGUUCAGGUUCAGUCUCGCGUCGCAGCUCGUGUCCCGCAGUCCGAGAAUCCGUUGAUUUCUUCAAGUAAUUGCUCACGCGUGUUUAACGCGCCUACAGUUUCGUUACGUGCUACGCGCUCUUAUCAGUGGAUUUAGGUACGAUAGCCGAAUUUUUGUGUCAAUACUGUGUUGUAUAUGGAAUAACUAAAGGUGUGAAUCGUGCGAGGUUUUCAUUUAAUCAUUGUUUAUCACCAAGUUCGCUACACUAUCAGUUUCAGUGAUAAGUGACGAAAAACUGGCGUCAGGAAUUACUAUUUAUUUGAACCCGGUGGAUACGAACACGUGAUCCUUCGAGGACAUUAACCGAGGCAAUUUUUCUCGAACGAGGAACCUGACGUUGAAGCGAAUCACCACAUUGAAGCCCGAGUAUGAAUCUCCCCCGAGUGGAAGUAAUAAAUAGCUGAAAAUUAUCCCCGUAACGGUAAUUUUUGUGACAAACGAUAAGCAGAAGGCAUCCGCUCUUAGAUUCAGACUCAUUAAGGGAGAAAUAAUUAUCGAGACCAGACUCGAGAGGCGCUGCUGUCGUUCCUUUUUUCUAAAAAGCGUUUUCCGCAGCACUCGUUAUGAAAGUUUCGCACUCCGACUCCGUAACCUUUUGACCAGAGAUUUUAUCUAAUUACUCGCUCCCUCUCUCCGAGGCUCUCCUCUUAGAAUCGGUGCAGUGCGUUGCCCUCGUCCUCAAAAUCCGAACCCGUUUGACAAAUUUUCAUCUGGGUGUGAAUAUUGCGCGGUGUGCGGGAAAAUGCUCGGGUGACCGUGUGAAUUAUCCUCGCGGAUCGGACCGAGUCGGUGAUUUUUAAUUUCCUGCCGAAAUCGUGCGUUCGGAAUGAGGUUAUGCCCGGGGGUGGAUUUUUUCCGCAGUCUGUGGAGGAUUACGCUGCUUCGUGAUUGAUGAUCCGCUCUGGUGUUGUGUGUCGCGUUGUGCGCGUUUCCGUGGCCCCCGUUCGAUUCGAAUGUUUGUGUUGUUAUCGUAACGUCUGCCCGUGCGCCAGCUCCACCAAAUGAGUUUGGAUAUGCUUUGGCUCUGCGGUCUCUUCCUCACCGCCUCAUUCUGCAUCACCGCUUCGUCACAAGGUAUGUAUGCUGCAGUUCUUUCCGAAUUAUUUUUCCUCGCCUGUACGUAUCUCCACUGUUGAUAAUCCAACUAUUGGUGAGUUCUCUUUUCUGUUAUAAUAAAUUUUUAAUCAAUCAAAUUUGUAACGUCAAUGAGGAUAUGAAUUGUGAAAGCAGACACGAUUUUUCUCUUUCUGCGGAUAUAUCUACCAAGAUAUUUUCUUUCAAAUUAGUCUUUGGAGCCCCACAGGAAUUUAAAAUACGUAGUGUGUACUCGAUUGUGAUUCUCAAGAAUGAGAGAGUGCAUAGUCACUCACAGUAGAAGAAACGCAAUUCGACAAGAUCGAUCACCUUAUUAAUUCGAAUCUAGUUCCAUUAAUUAAGCAAACAGCGCCCCCGAACAACCGCUGAAAAUCAUUGAUGCAGAUGUUUGGCUUUGCUCCAGUUUAAGUCCAGAAGAUUCGUGCAUCUCAUUAUGUUUAGUUCUGAAAGAAAUACGUGAAUCAGAAUACAUGCGUGAAAAAAACACAUUUGAAAAAGAAGAAAGAGAAAAAGUGAAAUGCAAUUUGUGCCUAAUGAUCCGAUGAAACCUAGUCAGGAGGGGACAUCAAAGGGACCUCAUAAAUUAUUCGAACAGGUGCGCAAGGUGAAAAUUCUCACUUUUACUGAUCCGAUUAUAUUAUUAGACGGAGAUUAAAACUUUUUUAUAACAUUUGCAAGUUUUUUCUUUUCUUCUUUUCUGUCAUCACUGACAUUGAGUGAAUGAUAUGGCCCGUUGGCCCCGUAGUCUCUAGUGGCGUGGCGUACUUUGAUGCGAUAAAGCGAUCGAUUUGUCAUUUAAACGUAUGGGAAAAGAUCCAUAAACAGGCCAGGGUGUCCGCAACGAACACCUAAUCGAUUAUUUACCGUAGCUUCAAUGGUGAAUUAUCGAUGAUCGUACACUCACGCCUCCGCUACUGAUUAUUAUUUCAUCUUGUCCUCAUCGGUGAAACUCUGUUUUAGUUUACUCCUUGAACGAGUUCGACUCUAAUUUUUGGACAAACACAGAAACAUUCAACAUGUUCAAGGAUCGGUGGCAAGUCAUUUUUCCUAAAACAUCGUUUCCUACUGGAACUUUUCCUAAUACUUUUUUCUCACUCGUUUUUUGUCCCAUCACAGUAUAGUCCUAGGAGUAAUAUGUUCUACAUGCUUUUUUUCCUAGGGGCAUUUGUCCUGAAUUAAAUUUUAAAAAACAACAUAGGUACCUCACAAGUUAAAGCUGUGGUCGCAUACCCGCAAGUAGUAGAGCUUCAUCCUCUUCGUUGUAUUGAGAGUAUAGAAGGCUGCUGUCUCCUGUUCACGCGCUUAUAUUCGGCUCGCUGAGGAAAUUUUACACUUUCUGAAACCCCUCUGCUCUACUCAUGUUUAAGUUUCAAUUAUUAUUGGAUUAUUGGGACAACACCUUUAGAAAAAAAGCCAGUGGGACAACCCACUCGUAGGACUUACUGUAAUGGGACAAACAACGAGUAGGAAAAAAGUAUUAGGAAAACUUGAUGUAUAGGAAAAAAAAAUUUAGGAAAAAUGACCUAGCACCCAAGGAUCACCAGUUGAAAAAAAGGACUGCCAAACAGCAGGAUAAAACACUAAAUAAAACACUAUCUUUUCAGUAUAGAAAUAAAUAAAAAUGUAAUACUUUUGAUAAGUAAAAGCUUAAUAAUAUAUAGCUUCUAACUAUAUAAAAGUAAUUAGUUUAGUAAAGUUUUAGACUAAAUAAAAUAAAAUUUG
Molecule: long non-coding RNA, 2872 nt
Filed under: Bemisia tabaci
Lineage: Eukaryota; Metazoa; Arthropoda; Insecta; Hemiptera; Aleyrodidae
Description: lncRNA ENSSSA1UGG006898
Source: RNAcentral